RNAcentral lists this ribosomal RNA (3146 nucleotides) under Torulaspora pretoriensis. Its description in RNAcentral is "large subunit ribosomal RNA". It matches the Rfam family "Bacterial large subunit ribosomal RNA". The record is from RNAcentral. Lineage: Eukaryota; Fungi; Ascomycota; Saccharomycetes; Saccharomycetales; Saccharomycetaceae.
AUAUAAGUAAUGAAUAAUAGAUUUGAAAUAUUUAUUAUAUAGAUUUAAAGAAAUAAUCAUAGAAUACAUAAGUUAUUAAUAGUUAUUAGGUUACUAAUAAAUAAAUUAAUAAAUUUAUUUUAAUACCUAAGGUAAACCAUAAAAAAUUAAUUAAUAAUUUUUAUAAAUAUACUAAGUGAACUGAAACAUCUAAGUAACUUAAGGAUAAAAAAUCAACCGAGAUAUUAUGAGUAUUGGUGAGAGAAAAUAAUAUAGUUAAUAAUUUUAUUAUAAAAUUAUAUAUAUAAGUAUUAUGUAAUAUAAUUAUGUAAGAAUAUAGGACAAACUAGUUCUAAAACUAAAUACUAUUAAUAAACAAAAUAAGUACCGAAAGGGAAAGUAUGUAAGUGGUUAUUUUAUAAGUAAUCAUAGAUAUAAAUUUUAUAUUAAUGAUGUACCUUUUGUAUAAUGGGUCAGCAAGUAAUUAAUAUUAGCAAAAUAAAUAAAUUAUAAAAAAAUUGAUAAAAAUAUAGAAGUUAAUAUUAAUUGACCCGAAAGCAAAUGAUCUUACUAUGACCAGACGGUUAAACGGUCGAACAGGUUGAUGUUGCAAUAUCAUCUGAUGAGUUGUGGUAAGUAGUGAAAGACAAAUCUGAUUUGCAGAUAGCUGGUUUUCUACGAAAUAUAUGUUAGUAUAGCUUUUAUAAUAAUAAUUAUUAUAAUCCAAUGGAUUAUAAAGAACGGUACAGCAACAAAUAUAUUUAGGGGAACUAUUGUAGUUUUAUCAAAAAUAUUUGAUCUCGAAAUGUUUAAUUAACCCCUUUUUCAUAAGGAAAAGGGGGGAUUAUAAAAAGUCAGAUUAUGUGCGAUAAGGUAAAUAAUCUAAAGGGAAACAGCCCAGAUUAAUAUAUAAGGUUCCUAAUUACAUAAAAUAAUAAGUGAAAAAAAUAUUAAAAUAUUAUAAUACAAUCAGUUAAUGGAUUUGACAAUAACCAUUUUUUAAUGAACAUGUAACAAUGCACUGAUCUAUUAUAUAAUCUUUAUAGAUUAUAUACAUAUAAUAUUAUAAAUUUUUCUUAUUCAAUAAGAAAAUUAAUAAACAAUAUACGGAUCUUUUUUUUUUAUAAAAAAAAUUAUUUAACCGAAUAUUUAAAUAUUAUUAUUAAUGGUUCCAACCAACCAUUUAGUUGAGGGUGGUACGAUAGAAUAAUAAUAAUAUGGUAGUAGAACAUUUAAUGAAAAAAUAUAUUAAUUUUUAAUUAAUAUAUAAUAAAAUAUCUAAAUAUUUAUUUUCGUUCCGCACACCCUUAUAAGUGUGUGGGACGAUGGAAUAGUAAUUAAAUAGAGAAUGCUGACAUGAGUAACGAAAAAAAGGUUAAACCUUUUCACCUAAAACAUAAGGUUUUACUAUAAAAGUACGGCCCUUAAUUAAAUUAUAUAAAUAUAAUAUAAGAUAGGAUAAUUCUAAAUUAAAAACUACAUCUUUUAUUUUAUAUAAAAAAUUAUAAAAGAUCAAGAAAUAUUUUUAAUUUAUACCGUAAUGUAUACCGACUCAGGUAUGUUAGUAGAGAAUAUUAAGGUGAAUUAGAUAAUUAAAGGGAAGGAACUCGGCAAAAAUAGCUCUAACGUUAGUCAAUAAAGAGAUAAUUAAAAACAAGGUUGUACAACUGUUUAAUAAAAACACCGCACUUUGCAUAAACGAUAAGUUAACGUAUAAGGUGUGAACUCUGCUCCAUGCUUAACAUAUAAAUAAUAUUAUUUAAUGAUAAUAUUAUUAAAUUUAAGUAAAUAGCAGCCUUAUUAUGAGGGUUCUAAGGUAGCGAAAUUCAUUGUCCAAUAAUUAUGGUCCUGCAUGAAUGACGUAAUGAUACAACAACUGUCUCCCCUUUAAGCUAAGUGAAAUUAAAUUCGCAGUGAAGAUGCUGUGUACCUAUAGUGUGACGGAAAGACCCUAUGCAGCUUUACUGUAAUUAGAUAGAUCGAAUUAUUGUAUAUUAUAUUCAGAAUAUUAAGUAAUUGAUUAAAUAAAAAUGAGAUACUUAUUAUAAUAAUAUAAUAAUUCUAAUCUUAAUAUAAAAUCUCUAUUCCAUAGUCCCGACCGCCCAGCGGUCGGGACGGAACUACCCGCGCCCCACGGGGCGCGGGUGGUUCCCUUUGGGAACUAUUAUUUAUUUAUUAUAAAUAAUAUGAGUUAUUUAAUAGAUAUAAUUCUUAAAUAAAAAUAUUGUAUAUUAUAUAUAUAUUUUAUAUAUAUAUAUUUAUAUAUAAUAUAUUAAUAAGAGACAAUCUCUAAUUGGUAGUUUUGAUGGGGCGUCAUUUUCAGCAAUAAUAUCUGAAUAAGUCUAUAUAUAAAUUAUAAUAUUAUUAAAAAAAAAUAUAUAAAAAUAUAUAUUAGAUAUAUUAAUUAUAAAUAGGAAUAUAUUUCUUUAAAAAAGUAAGUUAUAUAUUUUAGUAAUAGAAAAAAUCAUGUAUAGUAAAAUUGUCUAGAAAACAAUAAUAAUAAUAUAAUUAUUUAUAUUAUAUAAUAAAAUGUAUUAAAUUAAUAUAAUGGUAUAACUAUGCAACAAUUAUAACACAAACAAGUGAAAUAAGUACGUAAGUAUGGCAUAAUGAACAAAUAACACUGAUUGUAAUGGUUAUUGAUAACGAAUAAAAGUUACGCUAGGGAUAACAGGGUAAUAUAGCGAAAGAGUAGAUAUUGUAAGCUAUGUUUGCCACCUCGAUGUCGACUCUACCUAUCCUCUUGGUUGUAAAUGCUAAGAAGGGUUUGACUGUUCGUCAAUUAAAAGGUAACGUGAGUUGGGUUAAAUACGAUGUAAAUCAGUAUGGUUCCUAUCUACUAUAGGUAAUAUUAUCAACUUAAGUCUUAUUCUUAGUACGCAAGGAUCAGAAUGAAUUAAUCCAUGGUGUAUCUAUUGAUUAUUUUAUAAUAUAUAUAUAUAUUUAUAUAUAUAUUAUCUAUAUUAAUUUAUAUUUUAUAUUAUAGUCAUAGUAGAUAAGCUAAAUUAAUAAAUAAUAAGUAUUGAAAGCAUAUAAAAUACGAAGUUGUCUUAAGAUGAGAUAAUAAUCUGAUUAUUUUAUACUAAAAUAAUAUAAAAUAUCCAUUAUAAUAUAUUAAAUUGGAUAUAUAAAUAGGUUUUUUAUAUAUAUAUAUAAUAAAAUACUAA